CAACUUUCAGCAACGGAUCUCUUGGCUCUCGCAUCGAUGAAGAACGCAGCGAAUUGCGAUAUGUAAUGUGAAUUGCAGAUUUUCAGUGAAUCAUCGAAUCUUUGAACGCAUCUUGCGCUCCUUGGUAUUCCGAGGAGCAUGCCUGUUUGAGUGUCAUUAAAUUCU
This 165-nucleotide ribosomal RNA is filed under the name Austropaxillus sp. HN3440. Its description in RNAcentral is "5.8S ribosomal RNA". It matches the Rfam family "5.8S ribosomal RNA". Rfam says of the family: 5.8S ribosomal RNA (5.8S rRNA) is a component of the large subunit of the eukaryotic ribosome. It is transcribed by RNA polymerase I as part of the 45S precursor that also contains 18S and 28S rRNA. Functionally, it is thought that 5.8S rRNA may be involved in ribosome translocation. Lineage: Eukaryota; Fungi; Basidiomycota; Agaricomycetes; Boletales; Serpulaceae. The record is from RNAcentral.